UACGUAGGGUGCGAGCGUUGUCCGGAAUUAUUGGGCGUAAAGAGCUCGUAGGCGGUGUGUCGCGUCGACCGUGAAAACCUGGGGCUCAACUCUGGGCGUGCGGUCGAUACGGGCAUCACUUGAGUUCGGCAGGGGAGACUGGAAUUCCUGGUGUAGCGGUGAAAUGCGCAGAUAUCAGGAGGAACACCGGUGGCGAAGGCGGGUCUCUGGGCCGAUACUGACGCUGAGGAGCGAAAGCAUGGGUAGCGAACAGG
RNAcentral lists this ribosomal RNA (254 nucleotides) under uncultured bacterium. RNAcentral's name for it is "partial 16S ribosomal RNA". It matches the Rfam family "Bacterial small subunit ribosomal RNA", at positions 524 to 776 of the family's 1533-position model. The record is from RNAcentral.